RNAcentral lists this ribosomal RNA (469 nucleotides) under uncultured bacterium. Its description in RNAcentral is "bacterial SSU rRNA". It matches the Rfam family "Bacterial small subunit ribosomal RNA", at positions 331 to 792 of the family's 1533-position model. The record is from RNAcentral.
CCAGACUCCUACGGGAGGCAGCAGUAGGGAAUCUUCCACAAUGGGCGAAAGCCUGAUGGAGCAACGCCGCGUGGGUGAAGAAGGUCUUCGGAUCGUAAAACCCUGUUGUUAGAGAAGAAAGUGCGUGAGAGUAACUGUUCACGUUUCGACGGUAUCUAACCAGAAAGCCACGGCUAACUACGUGCCAGCAGCCGCGGUAAUACGUAGGUGGCAAGCGUUAUCCGGAUUUAUUGGGCGUAAAGGGAACGCAGGCGGUCUUUUAAGUCUGAUGUGAAAGCCUUCGGCUUAACCGGAGUAGUGCAUUGGAAACUGGGAGACUUGAGUGCAGAAGAGGAGAGUGGAACUCCAUGUGUAGCGGUGAAAUGCGUAGAUAUAUGGAAGAACACCAGUGGCGAAAGCGGCUCUCUGGUCUGUAACUGACGCUGAGGUUCGAAAGCGUGGGUAGCAAACAGGAUUAGAUACCCCAGUA